ACUUUACAAUGCGGGAAACCGUGAUAAGGGAACUCCGAGUGUCCGUAAAUUCGGACUGUCCGUAUGUUUAAAAAGCAUACGAAGAAAGGGCCGGGCAAGACCGGUGCCAGCCGCCGCGGUAAUACCGGCGGCUCGAGUGGUGGCCACUAUUACUGGGCUUAAAGCGUUCGUAGCUGGGUUAUUAAGUCUCUUGGGAAAUCUACCGGCUUAACCGAUAGGCGUCCAAGGGAUACUGGUAAUCUAGGGACCGGGAGAGGUGAGGGGUACUUCAAGGGUAGGAGUGAAAUCCUGUAAUCCUUGGGGGACCACCUGUGGCGAAGGCGCCUCACCAGAACGGCUCCGACAGUGAGGGACGAAAGCUGGGGGAGCAAACCGG
This 376-nucleotide ribosomal RNA is filed under the name uncultured archaeon. Its description in RNAcentral is "bacterial SSU rRNA". It matches the Rfam family "Archaeal small subunit ribosomal RNA", at positions 347 to 727 of the family's 1478-position model. The record is from RNAcentral.